GUAGUCCACGCCGUAAACGAUGGAUGCUAGUUGUUGGGAUUUUAUUCCAGUGACACAGCUAACGCGUUAAGCAUCCCGCCUGGGGAGUACGGUCGCAAGAUUAAAACUCAAAGGAAUUGACGGGGACCCGCACAAGCGGUGGAGUAUGUGGUUUAAUUCGAUGCAACGCGAAGAACCUUACCACCUUUUGACAUCUGGAUAGCUGUUUGCAGAAAUGCAUUCGUCGGUUCGGCCGGAUCCAAGACAGGUGUUGCAUGGCUGUCGUCAGCUCGUGUCGUGAGAUGUUGGGUUAAGUCCCGCAACGAGCGCAACCCUCAUCCUUAGUUACCAGCGGGUUAUGCCGGGCACUCUAAGGAAACUGCUCGUGAUAAGCGAGA
Molecule: ribosomal RNA, 377 nt
Filed under: uncultured bacterium
Lineage: Bacteria
Description: bacterial SSU rRNA
Rfam family: Bacterial small subunit ribosomal RNA
Source: RNAcentral